RNAcentral lists this ribosomal RNA (388 nucleotides) under uncultured bacterium. Its description in RNAcentral is "bacterial SSU rRNA". It matches the Rfam family "Bacterial small subunit ribosomal RNA", at positions 420 to 806 of the family's 1533-position model. The record is from RNAcentral.
GGAUUGUAAACUUCUUUUAUAUGGGAAUAAAGUGCACCACGUGUGGUGUUUUGUAUGUACCAUAUGAAUAAGGAUCGGCUAACUCCGUGCCAGCAGCCGCGGUAAUACGGAGGAUCCGAGCGUUAUCCGGAUUUAUUGGGUUUAAAGGGAGCGUAGGCGGAUUGUUAAGUCAGUUGUGAAAGUUUGCGGCUCAACCGUAAAAUUGCAGUUGAUACUGGCAGUCUUGAGUGCAGUAGAGGUAAGCGGAAUUCGUGGUGUAGCGGUGAAAUGCUUAGAUAUCACGAAGAACUCCAAUUGCGAAGGCAGCUUGCUGGACUGUAACUGGCGCUGAUGCUCGAAAGUGUGGGUAUCAAACAGGAUUAGAUACCCUGGUAGUCCACACAGUAAA